CCUACGUGAGGCUGCAGUGGGGAAUAUUGCACAAUGGGGGAAACCCUGAUGCAGCGACGCCGCGUGAGUGAAGAAGGAAUUCGUUAUGGAAAGCUCUAUCAGCAGGGAAGAAAAUGACGGUACCUGAGUAAGAAGCCCCGGCUAACUACGUGCCGGCAGCCGCGGUAAUACGUAGGGGGCAAGCGUUAUCCGGAUUUACUGGGUGUAAAGGGAGCGUAGACGGCAGUGCAAGUCGGGAGUGAAAGGCGGGGGCUCAACCCCCGGACUGCUGUGGAAACUGUACGGCUGGAGUGCAGGAGCGGUAAGUGGAAUUCCUAGUGUAGCGGUGAAAUGCGUAGAUAUUAGGCGGAACACCAGUGGCGAAGGCGGCUUACUGGACUGUAACUGACGUUGAGGCUCGAAAGCGUGGGGAGCAAACAGGAUUAGAUACCCCAGUAGUC
This 440-nucleotide ribosomal RNA is filed under the name uncultured bacterium. Its description in RNAcentral is "partial 16S ribosomal RNA". It matches the Rfam family "Bacterial small subunit ribosomal RNA", at positions 338 to 795 of the family's 1533-position model. The record is from RNAcentral.